RNAcentral lists this ribosomal RNA (305 nucleotides) under uncultured bacterium. RNAcentral describes it as "bacterial SSU rRNA". It matches the Rfam family "Bacterial small subunit ribosomal RNA", at positions 30 to 334 of the family's 1533-position model. The record is from RNAcentral.
AUUGAACGCUGGCGGCAGGCUUAACACAUGCAAGUCGAGCGGAAACGAUGGUGCUUGCACCAGGCGUCGAGCGGCGGACGGGUGAGUAACGCGUAGGUAUCUACCUAACAGUUUGGGAUAGCCCGGGGAAACUCGGAUUAAUACCGGAUACGAUCUUCGGAUGAAAGCGGGGGCUCUUUGACCUCGUGCUGAUAGAUGACCCUGCGUCGGAUUAGCUAGUUGGUUGGGUAAUGGCUGACCAAGGCGACGAUCCGUAGCUGGUCUGAGAGGAUGAUCAGCCACACUGGGACUGAGACACGGCCCAG